RNAcentral lists this ribosomal RNA (711 nucleotides) under Klebsiella sp. Its description in RNAcentral is "bacterial SSU rRNA". It matches the Rfam family "Bacterial small subunit ribosomal RNA", at positions 795 to 1507 of the family's 1533-position model. The record is from RNAcentral. Lineage: Bacteria; Pseudomonadati; Pseudomonadota; Gammaproteobacteria; Enterobacterales; Enterobacteriaceae.
CCCCGGGAUAACGAAUGUCGACUUGGAGGUUGUUCCCUUGAGGAGUGGCUUCCGGAGCUAACGCGUUAAGUCGACCGCCUGGGGAGUACGGCCGCAAGGUUAAAACUCAAAUGAAUUGACGGGGGCCCGCACAAGCGGUGGAGCAUGUGGUUUAAUUCGAUGCAACGCGAAGAACCUUACCUACUCUUGACAUCCACGGAACUUUUCAGAGAUGAUUUGGUGCCUUCGGGAACCGUGAGACAGGUGCUGCAUGGCUGUCGUCAGCUCGUGUUGUGAAAUGUUGGGUUAAGUCCCGCAACGAGCGCAACCCUUAUCCUUUGUUGCCAGCGGUUCGGCCGGGAACUCAAAGGAGACUGCCAGUGAUAAACUGGAGGAAGGUGGGGAUGACGUCAAGUCAUCAUGGCCCUUACGAGUAGGGCUACACACGUGCUACAAUGGCAUAUACAAAGAGAAGCGACCUCGCGAGAGCAAGCGGACCUCAUAAAGUAUGUCGUAGUCCGGAUUGGAGUCUGCAACUCGACUCCAUGAAGUCGGAAUCGCUAGUAAUCGUAGAUCAGAAUGCUACGGUGAAUACGUUCCCGGGCCUUGUACACACCGCCCGUCACACCAUGGGAGUGGGUUGCAAAAGAAGUAGGUAGCUUAACCUUCGGGAGGGCGCUUACCACUUUGUGAUUCAUGACUGGGGUGAAGUCGUACAAGGGUAACCAGUAG